UCGUGUACAUUAAUGGUACAUAUCUUUAUAUAUAUAUAAAUUGUGACGUACUGUCGUCGCCGCCCACCCGCCAGACAGAUCUGGUGGUGGUCGACUGGUGCUGCAGGUAGCUGUCGCCGUAAAUUAUAUUACGUAUUAUUGUUUUUCGUUUGCAAUAAUAUUUUGUAAUUUUUUUUUUUUUUUUUUUUACCCAUUUCCGCUCACGUCACACAGUGUCUCCCUCUGCGUAUAAAUAUUAUUGUAGAAACCUCGCCGAGUCCCGCACGGUGGUUUUUACUUUUUAGUUUUUACACUGCCUCGCCAUAGCUGCAGCUGCCGCUGCUGCUGCUGGCGGCGUCUGGCGGCCGUCCGCUGUAACCGAUGCCGCUCCGCCCAUCUCAUUUACCUAUAUAGGAUAAUCCUAUUAUUAUUGUACCUUUACGGACAUUUUAUAUUGUUUUUUAUUCUAUUUCUAUAAAGUAUACACAUUGCACGUCACUGCUGUCGCGGCUUCUGGAUAUCAAUGUCGUUUUUGUCUGUUAUAUAAGACCAUUGAAUAAAUGCAAUUUUUGUACCGCGUAGUAAAACUACGUAAUACGUAUACGCGCACGCGUACCUCGUGAUGAGCGGAAGUUCGGCGCACCCGCCGCCGGUGUACAGACGGCCGCUCGAGACAUCCAAGUUACAGAGCUUCCACGCUUCCCGUUCACGCCAUUCACGGAGCACGCGUCAUUAAUGCAGGUUUAGCGGUUUGUGCGCUUCCGGUAACGGGCGGUAGUCCAGAGUAUACGCACGACUUAAAAUUAGACUACACUUUGAUUAAAUUUUUUGGCAUUUUGCUAGGUUCUUGGUGGCUAAAUCACAUCUUGGUGACCAUAAUAUCAUUAUGAAACAAUAAUAAUGCGUUUAAAAUUUGUUUGUAACUUAUAAUUUAAAUUCAAAAUCAACCAACCAUUUUUUGUUGAGUUUGUUUUUAUGUUGUUCACAUCCGUCAGUUAUAGGUAGUCCCGAAAAGGACCGUUUUCACCAAUAUGGCCGGAAGAUCUUUCGAUGUUCGGCCGCUUGAUUUAUUAUAGUGUUUUACUUCCUCUUGUUAACAUACUAUUAAUAUCUUAAGGUAUGAGCAUUCAAAUCUUCAAGUAUUAACAACACUGCUAGGCAGGAGGGCCACAAGAAGGUACAGCAUAUACCUGCCAUUUAUCGACAUAGUACUAAAUAAUUGUUAUUGUUUUUUUUUCAUUUAAUUGAUAUAAUUACAAUUUAAAAACGUUAAAAAAAAUUGUGUUACAUCAACCUUUAAAGGAAUUAUAAUUUAUUUUACAAAUAAAAAAAUACGGGCUUGUGAAUGUUAGCUUAUUAUUUUUAUUUAGUUAAAUAUUUGAUUUAAAUGACGACUAAAAAUCGUAGGACUACCUAGUUAUUUAAUUUCAAAUAAUGACAAAAUGAAAAAAGUAAAAGUAAUUUAUUUUAGUAAUGGCUAAAACAAAAAAAAAACUAUUUUGUAUUAUUAUUGCAAACUUACAAUUUAAAUUGCAUAUAUUGACAUAUUGUGAAUUGUGAUUAAAAUGAUUACUUAUUGCAGUAAUGAUUGUAAAAAAUGUUAGUAAAAAUUUACAAAGAUUAAGGUAUUAUUUUUAGAUUUUUAUCUUCCAAGUUCUAACAAGCCAUUUUAGUUUAUCUAUGGAUUAGCUAUAAAAGGACAAUUAAUAGAAAAUAAGUAUACUGAAGUACUGAACAGUUGUAUUAGGCGAGUUUAUUACUUUAUAAGUAAUUUAUAACCGCCAUUAUGAAGUGCCUUAAUUGCAGCUGCGAAAUGUUUUAACUACGAAUCGAGAAAAUGAAAUAAUAUUAUGUAUUCGAAUUGUAGAUAAUAAUAUAAUUGAUUUUAUAUACUCUUAUAAUGCAUUAUGCAUGAUGUAAGUAUAUUAAAAAUACUAAUUUUGUAAACAAUAGUUUUAUCAUUUACUAUUUUAUGACUAUAAUAAAUAUUUUAUUUUGAAACGUAA
This is a long non-coding RNA of Aphis gossypii (cotton aphid), 1985 nucleotides long. RefSeq lists it as uncharacterized. The transcript has 2 exons. The record is from RefSeq and is a predicted model, not a curated record. Lineage: Eukaryota; Metazoa; Arthropoda; Insecta; Hemiptera; Aphididae.